Molecule: ribosomal RNA, 329 nt
Filed under: uncultured eukaryote
Lineage: Eukaryota
Description: partial 18S ribosomal RNA
Rfam family: Eukaryotic small subunit ribosomal RNA
Source: RNAcentral
CCCUUAGAUGUCCUGGGCCGCACGCGCGCUACACCGAGUGUCUGAGAUACGAGUCUGCCUGGUCCGGCAAGGUCUAGGUAAUCGCUAAAAGACACAUCAUGCUUGGGAUAGAUUAUUGCAAAUAUUAAUCUUGAACGAGGAAUUCCUAGUAAGCGCAAGUCAACAGCUUGCGUUGAUUACGUCCCUGCCCUUUGUACACACCGCCCGUCGCUACUACUGAUUGGAUGUUUAAGCGAGGUUCUCGAACUGCUAGCGACUUAGCUUCGGUGAGGUCGCAGUGUGGGAAGUGAACCUAGCUUUGGUGUCUAGAGGAAGUAAAAGUCGUAACA